UCCCGAACUCAGACGUGAAACGGUGGCUCGCCGAUGAUAGUGUGGGGCUUCCCCAUGUGAACGUAGGUUACCGCCAGGG
This 79-nucleotide ribosomal RNA is filed under the name Thiobaca trueperi. The record is from RNAcentral. Lineage: Bacteria; Pseudomonadati; Pseudomonadota; Gammaproteobacteria; Chromatiales; Chromatiaceae.